GGAAGGAGAAGUGGUAACAAGGUUUCCGUAGGUGAACCUGCGGAAGGAUCAUUGUCGAAACCUGUAAAUCAGACUGCGAACACGUGUUAAUAAUCUUCGCCCGCUUGAUGCUUGCGUCCAGCGGGCUCACGAACCCCGGCGCGGCAUGCGCCAAGGAAAACUAAAAGGAUGCGUCGCGCCCUGGAUGCCCGUUUGCGGUGCGUUUUGGGUACGUGACGUCUCUCAAAUGUCUAAACGACUCUCGGCAACGGAUAUCUCGGCUCUCGCAUCGAUGAAGAACGUAGCGAAAUGCGAUACUUGGUGUGAAUUGCAGAAUCCCGUGAACCAUCGAGUCUUUGAACGCAAGUUGCGCCCGAAGCCUUAUGGCUGAGGGCACGCCUGCCUGGGCGUCACGCAUCGCGUCGCCCCCCUCCAACAUCCCUAGGGAUUUACGAGUGGGAGCGGAAAAUGGUCUCCCGCGUGCCUUUGUGCUCGAGGCUGGCUUAAAUAAGAUCCUGCAUCGAUGGAUGUCACGACCAGUGGUGGUUGAAAACUCAAUCGUUCUGUCGUGCAUCACCACAUCGUUUGCGAGGUAUUUAUUCGAGACAACGGUGCUUAACGUGCCUUCGACCGCGACCCCAGGUCAGGCGGGACUACCCGCUGAGUUUAAGCAUAUC
This 656-nucleotide ribosomal RNA is filed under the name Veronica continua. RNAcentral describes it as "eukaryotic LSU rRNA". The stretch from base 237 to 392 matches the Rfam family "5.8S ribosomal RNA". The record is from RNAcentral. Lineage: Eukaryota; Viridiplantae; Streptophyta; Magnoliopsida; Lamiales; Plantaginaceae.